UUUUCAUUUUUGAAUUAUUUUCGAAAUCGCGGAUCUUGAAGGUAUCGUCCUAUCUUCAAAGGCAACAAUAAAUGAAUUCAUUGUCUCCUGAAUUAAUUGACCACCAAAAUACCAUUUUAUUAUUUGAAUUAUAAUAGAACAUAAUUAAUUUUCAAACCGAUAUGAUCUAACGCAAAAUCACGUGGAUUGCGACUGAUUCCAUCGCGCACGCAGGUCGAGACCGAGACUUCAGGUUCAGACCUGACUAACAGAUCUCCCACUACGCUUGCCAGCGGCCAUUCGGGAAGACCAGAUUUUUAUUUGAUAUGGCACCGCACUCAUGUUUCGAUUCUUCCACUGUUCCAUUGGAGCCAGAGCGACUUGGAGAUUUUUACGCUAAAUCCCAUGGUUCCGAGUGAAUUUUCCAAAC
Long non-coding RNA from Harmonia axyridis, 409 nucleotides. RefSeq lists it as uncharacterized. NCBI's taxonomy places the organism in Eukaryota, Metazoa, Arthropoda, Insecta, Coleoptera, Coccinellidae. The transcript has 3 exons. The record is from RefSeq and is a predicted model, not a curated record.